UACGAAGGUCCCAAGCGUUAUCCGGAUUUAUUGGGUUUAAAGGGUGCGUAGGCUGAUUAUUAAGUCAGUGGUGAAAGCCCCAAGCCUAACUUGGGAAUUGCCAUUGAUACUGAUGAUCUUGAGUACAUUUGAAGUGGGCGGAAUGUGUCAUGUAGCGGUGAAAUGCUUAGAUAUGACACAGAACACCGAUUGCGUAGGCAGCUCACUAAACUGUAACUGACGCUGAGGCACGAAAGCGUGGGGAGCAAACAGG
Molecule: ribosomal RNA, 253 nt
Filed under: uncultured bacterium
Lineage: Bacteria
Description: partial 16S ribosomal RNA
Rfam family: Bacterial small subunit ribosomal RNA
Source: RNAcentral